CUGCUUCGGCAGUACGUAUAAUAAAAUUGGAAAUAUACAGAGAUAACUAGCAUGACCCCUGCCUAAGGAUGACAAGUAAAAUCGUGAAGUGUUCCACAUGUUU
Molecule: small nuclear RNA, 103 nt
Organism: Macrosteles quadrilineatus (aster leafhopper)
Lineage: Eukaryota; Metazoa; Arthropoda; Insecta; Hemiptera; Cicadellidae
Source: RefSeq, a predicted model, not a curated record